Molecule: long non-coding RNA, 1044 nt
Organism: Humulus lupulus (European hop)
Lineage: Eukaryota; Viridiplantae; Streptophyta; Magnoliopsida; Rosales; Cannabaceae
Exons: 3
Source: RefSeq, a predicted model, not a curated record
AGAUAUAUAAUCAUGGAUUUUAAACUUAUAUAUUGAUGUAAAAUGAGUGAUUUAAUUAUAAUGGCACCAGAGGUUUGCCUCUCAAUCAAUAAAAUUUCUUCCUUUAAAAAAAAAAAAGGACAAUGGCAAAACUACGGCUGCACAUCUGGACCAAAAAACAUGCAAUACUUGCCCGACCUGCACUCGAAAAACUUCAGAAAAAGACGAAACACAUGUGUUCGAGUCAGAGCGGGUUAAACCUGACUACGAGUUUGGGUCAAGUUCAGGUGGUCGUUUCCAUCAGCUUCGGGUGUAACCUGAACCAACUAAGCUUUUUUUUAGUUUUGUUUAUUUACUUUUUUUUAAGAUUAAAGAUUAAAAAUUAAAUAAAAAAAUUCCUAUGAAAAAUUUACCCCCUCCCAUACCCCCCCACCCGACUCUCUCUCUCGACUACACUCUCUCUCUCUCUCUCUCUCGGUUGUCUCCCCCCUCAUCGGCGUUGACCGACCAAACCACUGCCGCCCAGUGGUCCCCGAGUCCUGACCGACCACCACACCACCAUUCCAGCCUCUUCUUCUCUUCUCCAAGACCGACUCCUCCCUCGCUCUCUCCCUCUUGGUGUCCUUCCUCGCUGCUGGCUCGAGCUCCUCCGACUCCUCCUUGUCGUCAACGUUGCAAGCGACAGCAACUCCAGCAAGCUUCCAGCAAGGCAGCAAAGGGCUUUGGCUGGGCAUUGAGGUGUCGGCAGAGUCUCAUCUGCUGCACAAGAUACUGGAUGAAUCAAGAAGGGAACCUCAACGCAGCUUGACUUGUUUAUAUUUCAGAAUUGGAAAUUGGGAAGGAGAAUUGAAGGAAUGAUGAAGGAUAACCAAAAUAUUUUGGAAAUUGGAUAGUAUCUAUAAUUAAUUUCUAUUUUGGAUCUUAGUUUGGACUUUGGAUAUUUUGUGGACUUUGAAUUGAUGGAUUUUUUAUUUUUAGUAGUUUUGUUACAUUUGUUAAGAACUUUGGAUUUUGAGUUUUGGACUAUGGACUUUUAAAUUUUAAUUAAGGCCUGGAAAUUAUGGA